ACUCCUACGGGAGGCAGCAGUGGGGAAUUUUGCGCAAUGGGGGAAACCCUGACGCAGCAACGCCGCGUGGAGGAUGAAGUCCUUUGGGAAUGUAAACUCCUCUCGACCGGGACGAUAAUGAC
Molecule: ribosomal RNA, 122 nt
Filed under: uncultured soil bacterium
Lineage: Bacteria
Description: partial 16S small subunit ribosomal RNA
Rfam family: Bacterial small subunit ribosomal RNA
Source: RNAcentral